CAAUAGCGUAUAUUAAAGUUGUUGCGGUUAAAAAGCUCGUAGUUGGAUUUCUGUCGAAAAUGGGCGGUCCUCACUACGUGGGUGUAUUGUUUCAGUUUCGGCAUCCUCAUGGGGAACGUUGCUGCGCUUGAUUGCGUGGCGCGGUAUCCAUGACUUUUACUUUGAGGAAAUUAGAGUGUUCACGGCAGGCAAUCGCCUUGAAUAUAUUAGCAUGGAAUAAUAAUAUAGGAUCUUGGUCCUAUUUUGUUGGUUUCUAGAGCUAAGAUAAUGAUUAAUAGGGAUAAUUGGGGGUCUUUGUAUCAUGGCGUCAGAGGUGGAAUUCUUGGAUUGCCAUGCGACAAACUACUGCGAAAGCAUUGACCAAGGAUGUUUUCAUUGA
This 379-nucleotide ribosomal RNA is filed under the name uncultured eukaryote. RNAcentral describes it as "partial 18S ribosomal RNA". It matches the Rfam family "Eukaryotic small subunit ribosomal RNA", at positions 592 to 976 of the family's 1831-position model. The record is from RNAcentral.